UGCAGCCGCGUCAAAUUCAGCACUGCCCCUGCCGUGGCACCCGCUGGCCCAAUCGGCUGCCACAUUAACACUGCUGCCCAUGGGCCCCGUUUCCUUCCCGUGGAUAUCGGGGAUAAAUGUGUGCAACGAACACCU
Small nucleolar RNA from Spea bombifrons (plains spadefoot toad), 135 nucleotides. RefSeq annotates it as small nucleolar RNA SNORA5. The transcript has a single exon. NCBI's taxonomy places the organism in Eukaryota, Metazoa, Chordata, Amphibia, Anura, Pelobatidae. The record is from RefSeq and is a predicted model, not a curated record.